RNAcentral lists this ribosomal RNA (518 nucleotides) under uncultured Glomeraceae. RNAcentral describes it as "SSU rRNA". It matches the Rfam family "Eukaryotic small subunit ribosomal RNA", at positions 569 to 1089 of the family's 1831-position model. The record is from RNAcentral. Lineage: Eukaryota; Fungi; Glomeromycota; Glomeromycetes; Glomerales; Glomeraceae.
AGCAGCCGCGGUAAUUCCAGCUCCAAUAGCGUAUAUUAAAGUUGUUGCAGUUAAAAAGCUCGUAGUUGAAUUUCGGGGUUAGUAGGCUGGUCAUGCCUCUGGUAUGUACUGGUCUUACUGACUUCUCCUUUCUGAAGAACUGUAAUGCCAUUAAUUUGGUGUUGCAGGGAAUCAGGACUGUUACUUUGAAAAAAUUAGAGUGUUUAAAGCAGGCUAACGCUUGAAUACAUUAGCAUGGAAUAAUGAAAUAGGACGUUCGAUCCUAUUUUGUUGGUUUCUAGGAUUGACGUAAUGAUUAAUAGGGAUAGUUGGGGGCAUUAGUAUUCAAUUGUCAGAGGUGAAAUUCUUGGAUUUAUUGAAGACUAACUACUGCGAAAGCAUUUGCCAAGGAUGUUUUCAUUAAUCAAGAACGAAAGUUAGGGAUCGAAGACGAUCAGAUACCGUCGUAGUCUUAACCAUAAACUAUGCCGACUAGGGAUCGGAUGAUGUUAAUUUUUUAUGUACUCAUUCGGCUACCG